This 499-nucleotide ribosomal RNA is filed under the name Micrococcus sp. AG10. RNAcentral's name for it is "bacterial SSU rRNA". It matches the Rfam family "Bacterial small subunit ribosomal RNA", at positions 396 to 905 of the family's 1533-position model. The record is from RNAcentral. Lineage: Bacteria; Bacillati; Actinomycetota; Actinomycetes; Micrococcales; Micrococcaceae.
GCCGCGUGAGGGAUGACGGCCUUCGGGUUGUAAACCUCUUUCAGUAGGGAAGAAGCGAAAGUGACGGUACCUGCAGAAGAAGCACCGGCUAACUACGUGCCAGCAGCCGCGGUAAUACGUAGGGUGCGAGCGUUAUCCGGAAUUAUUGGGCGUAAAGAGCUCGUAGGCGGUUUGUCGCGUCUGUCGUGAAAGUCCGGGGCUUAACCCCGGAUCUGCGGUGGGUACGGGCAGACUAGAGUGCAGUAGGGGAGACUGGAAUUCCUGGUGUAGCGGUGGAAUGCGCAGAUAUCAGGAGGAACACCGAUGGCGAAGGCAGGUCUCUGGGCUGUAACUGACGCUGAGGAGCGAAAGCAUGGGGAGCGAACAGGAUUAGAUACCCUGGUAGUCCAUGCCGUAAACGUUGGGCACUAGGUGUGGGGACCAUUCCACGGUUUCCGCGCCGCAGCUAACGCAUUAAGUGCCCCGCCUGGGGAGUACGGCCGCAAGGCUAAAACUCAAA